AGCGAACGCUGGCGGCAGGCUUAACACAUGCAAGUCGAGCGGGCAUCCUUGUGGUGUCCGCGGCAGACGGGUGAGUAACGCGUGGGAACGUGCCCUUCGGUUCGGAAUAACUCAGGGAAACUUGAGCUAAUACCGGAUACGUGCGAGAGCAGAAAGGUUUAUCUGCCGAAGGAUCGGCCCGCGUCUGAUUAGCUAGUUGGUGAGGUUAUGGCUCACCAAGGCGACGAUCAGUAGCUGGUCUGAGAGGAUGAUCAGCCACACUGGGACUGAGACACGGCCCAGACUCCUACGGGAGGCAGCAGUGGGGAAUAUUGGACAAUGGGGGCAACCCUGAUCCAGCCAUGCCGCGUGAGUGAUGACGGCCUUAGGGUUGUAAAGCUCUUUUCUCCGGGACGAUAAUAACGGUACCGGAGGAAUAAGCCCCGGCUAACUUCGUG
RNAcentral lists this ribosomal RNA (437 nucleotides) under uncultured bacterium. RNAcentral describes it as "partial 16S ribosomal RNA". It matches the Rfam family "Bacterial small subunit ribosomal RNA", at positions 29 to 507 of the family's 1533-position model. The record is from RNAcentral.